Long non-coding RNA from Lates calcarifer (barramundi perch), 742 nucleotides. RefSeq lists it as uncharacterized. The transcript has 3 exons. Lineage: Eukaryota; Metazoa; Chordata; Actinopteri; Centropomidae. The record is from RefSeq and is a predicted model, not a curated record.
GCAAGACAGCCUGGGCAGCUGCAGGGUGCCUGAGCAGAGCCUCUUCACAGCACAUUUGACAUCAGGGAACGACACAGACUCAAUGCAGGAGGCCUGCUCGAUGGAGUCCCACUGUCUCUGGACGACAGAAGAAACAAAGACCAGUUAGAGCUACUCUAUCAUGGGAACAAGACAACUGGGAAGGAAAUACCAAAGAGGAGGAUACAGGAACCACAUUAAAGAUCAGAUAUGAAGUUGUCUGUGGCACCAAUACUUCCUUGGGCUGUCACUCAGUGAAGAAGAGCUAUGUCCCCGCCUCUUCAGAGGCCCUCGGCUGUCAUUAGUUUACUGAUCAACAGCUAACUUGGCAGCUUCUACUGUGGCCUUUUUAUUUAACUGUACCAGGGAACUGAAGGUGCCAUCGUGAGAUAUGGCGCCAUCCAAAGGACAAUGAGGGCACUGACUUUGCAAAGGGUAUUUCAGGCAGUGCAAACACAAUCACUAAGCGUAAAUGCUACAAAAAUCAUUUAUGGCUUCAUGGUUUCAGUUGAUAACAUCAAUAAUGACACAUUUUUUUUAGAAAGUAUUUCUUUGUAUUUAUGUUCUGUGAAUCAUAAAGUGAGGUGAUCGAUUCUUCCCUUUGUAGAAACAGAUUGUAAAAAUCACAGACUAAAAAAAUAUAUUUAAUGACACUCUUCAGUGUUGCUUAUGUAGUGGCCACACCUGGAACAGAGCAAGCAUAAAAGGCAAGUGCAGUGUUGCU